UACGGGGGGGGCAAGCGUUAUUCGGAAUUACUGGGCGUAAAGGGCGUGUAGGCGGCUUGAUAGGUCAAAGGUGAAAUCCCUCGGCUCAACCGAGGAACUGCCUUUGAAACCAUCUGGCUCGAGGCUGGGAGGGGGUAGCGGAAUUCCUGGUGUAGCGGUGAAAUGCGUAGAUAUCAGGAGGAACACCAGUGGCGAAGGCGGCUACCUGGACCAGUUCUGACGCUGAGGCGCGAAAGCGUGGGGAGCAAACAGG
This 253-nucleotide ribosomal RNA is filed under the name uncultured bacterium. RNAcentral's name for it is "partial 16S ribosomal RNA". It matches the Rfam family "Bacterial small subunit ribosomal RNA", at positions 524 to 776 of the family's 1533-position model. The record is from RNAcentral.